RNAcentral lists this ribosomal RNA (494 nucleotides) under uncultured bacterium. Its description in RNAcentral is "partial 16S ribosomal RNA". It matches the Rfam family "Bacterial small subunit ribosomal RNA", at positions 28 to 507 of the family's 1533-position model. The record is from RNAcentral.
GACGAACGCUGGCGGCGUGCUUAACACAUGCAAGUCGAACGGUGAAGCGCCUUCCUUGUUGGUUGGUGUGGAUGAGUAGCGAACGGGUGAGUAACACUUGAGUAACCUGCCCCCUUCUUCUGGAUAACCGCAUGAAAGUGUGGCUAAUACGGGAUAUUCUGGGUCUGUCGCAUGAUGGGUCUGUGUAAGAUAUUGUUUCGGUGGGGGAUGGUCUCGCGGCCUAUAAGCUUGUUGGUGGGGUGAUGGCCUACCAAGGCGGUGACGGGUAGACGGCUUGAGGGGGUGGACGGUCACACGGGGACUGCGACACGGUCGAGACUGCGACGCGAGGCAGACGUGGGGAAUAUUGAACAGUGGGCGAAAGUCUGAUGCGGCGACGAGGCGUGAGGGAUGGAGGCCUUCGGGUUGUGAACCUCUUCCGCCAGUUAAGCAGGCCUGCCUCGUUUGUGGGUGGGUUGACGGUAGCUGGAUAAGAAGCGCCGGCUAACUACGUG